This 467-nucleotide ribosomal RNA is filed under the name uncultured bacterium. RNAcentral's name for it is "partial 16S ribosomal RNA". It matches the Rfam family "Bacterial small subunit ribosomal RNA", at positions 28 to 507 of the family's 1533-position model. The record is from RNAcentral.
GACGAACGCUGGCGGCGUGCUUAACACAUGCGAGUCGAACGGAAAGGCCUCUUUCGGGGGGUACUCGAGUGGCGAACGGGUGAGUAACACGUGAGUAACCUGCCCUUGACUUUGGGAUAACUUCAGUAAACUGGGGCUAAUACCGGAUAGGAGCUCCUGCUGCAUGGUGGGGGUUGGAAAGUUUCGGCGGUUGGGGAUGGACUCGCGGCUUAUCAGCUUGUUGGUGGGGUAGUGGCUUACCAAGGCUUUGACGGGUAGCCGGCCUGAGAGGGUGGCCGGCCACAUUGGGACUGAGAUACGGCCCAGACUCCUACGGGAGGCAGCAGUGGGGAAUAUUGCACAAUGGGUGGAAGCCUGAUGCAGCAACGCCGUGUGCGGGAUGACGGCCUUCGGGUUGUAAACCGCUUUCGCUCAUGACGAAGCUUUGUGUGACGGUAGUGGGUAAAGAAGCACCGGCUAACUACGUG